Molecule: long non-coding RNA, 117 nt
Organism: Sapajus apella (tufted capuchin)
Lineage: Eukaryota; Metazoa; Chordata; Mammalia; Primates; Cebidae
Exons: 3
Source: RefSeq, a predicted model, not a curated record
AUAGUUUCUAGAUCAAGGGUGUCUGAUCUUUUGGCUUCCCUUGGCCACGUUGGAAGAAGAAUGAUUGUCUUGGGCCACACAUAAAACACAUUAACAUCAAUGAUAGCUGUUGAGCUA